RNAcentral lists this ribosomal RNA (236 nucleotides) under uncultured bacterium. Its description in RNAcentral is "partial 16S ribosomal RNA". It matches the Rfam family "Bacterial small subunit ribosomal RNA", at positions 15 to 240 of the family's 1533-position model. The record is from RNAcentral.
GAUCCUGGCUCAGGAUGGACGCUAGCGACAGGCCUAACACAUGCAAGUCGAGGGGCAGCGAAGAGGUAGCAAUACAUUUGUCGGCGACCGGCGCACGGGUGAGUAACACGUAUGCAAUCCACCUGUAACAGGGGGAUAACCCGGAGAAAUCCGGACUAAUACCCCAUAAUAUGGGCGCUCCGCAUGGAGAGCCCAUUAAAGAGAGCAAUUUUGGUUACAGACGAGCAUGCGCUCCA